GACGCUGGCGGCGUGCUUAACACAUGCAAGUCGAGCGAUGAAGCUCCUUCGGGAGUGGAUUAGCGGCGGACGGGUGAGUAACACGUGGGUAACCUGCCUCAUAGAGGGGAAUAGCCUUUCGAAAGGAAGAUUAAUACCGCAUAAGAUUGUAGUGCCGCAUGGCAUAGCAAUUAAAGGAGUAAUCCGCUAUGAGAUGGACCCGCGUCGCAUUAGCUAGUUGGUGAGGUAACGGCUCACCAAGGCGACGAUGCGUAGCCGACCUGAGAGGGUGAUCGGCCACAUUGGGACUGAGACACGGCCCAGACUCCUACGGGAGGCAGCAGUGGGGAAUAUUGCACAAUGGGGGAAACCCUGAUGCAGCAACGCCGCGUGAGUGAUGACGGUCUUCGGAUUGUAAAGCUCUGUCUUCAGGGACGAUAAUGACGGUACCUGAGGAGGAAGCCACGGCUAACUACGUGCCAGCAGCCGCGGUAAUACGUAGGUGGCAAGCGUUGUCCGGAUUUACUGGGCGAAA
Molecule: ribosomal RNA, 514 nt
Filed under: Clostridium beijerinckii
Lineage: Bacteria; Bacillati; Bacillota; Clostridia; Eubacteriales; Clostridiaceae
Description: bacterial SSU rRNA
Rfam family: Bacterial small subunit ribosomal RNA
Source: RNAcentral